UGAAACAUCUAAGUAACCGCAGGAAAAGAAAUCAACCGAGAUUCCCAAAGUAGUGGCGAGCGAAAUGGGAUGAGCCUUGCACUCUUUAUUUGUAUUGUUAGCCGAACGCUCUGGAAAGUGCGGCCAUAGCAGGUGAUAGCCCUGUAGGCGAAAACAGUAUGAAAGAACUAGGUGUGCGACAAGUAGGGCGGGACACGUGAAAUCCUGUCUGAAGAUGGGGGGACCAUCCUCCAAGGCUAAAUACUCGUGAUCGACCGAUAGUGAACCAGUACCGUGAGGGAAAGGCGAAAAGAACCCCGGGAGGGGAGUGAAAUAGAUCCUGAAACCGCAUGCAUACAAACAGUCGGAGCCUCGUAAGGGGUGACGGCGUACCUUUUGUAUAAUGGGUCAGCGACUUACGUUCAGUAGCAAGCUUAACCGUAUAGGGCAGGCGUAGCGAAAGCGAGUCCGAAUAGGGCGUUCAGUUGCUGGGCGUAGACCCGAAACCAGGUGAUCUAUCCAUGGCCAGGAUGAAGGUGCGGUAACACGUACUGGAGGUCCGAACCCACUAACGUUGAAAAGUUAGGGGAUGAGCUGUGGAUAGGGGUGAAAGGCUAAACAAACCUGGAAAUAGCUGGUUCUCUCCGAAAACUAUUUAGGUAGUGCCUCGUGUCUCACCUUCGGGGGUAGAGCACUGUCAUGGUUGGGGGGUCUAUUGCAGAUUACCCCGCCAUAGCAAACUCCGAAUACCGAAGAGUGCAAUCACGGGAGACAGACAUCGGGUGCUAACGUCCGGUGUCAAGAGGGAAACAACCCAGACCGCCAGCUAAGGUCCCCAAAUAUAGCUAAGUGGGAAACGAAGUGGGAAGGCUAAAACAGUCAGGAGGUUGGCUUAGAAGCAGCCACCCUUUAAAGAAAGCGUAAUAGCUCACUGAUCGAGUCGUCCUGCGCGGAAGAUGUAACGGGGCUAAGCUAUAUACCGAAGCUGCGGAUGCGAGCUUGCUCGCAUGGUAGGAGAGCGUUCCGUAAGCCUGCGAAGGUGCCUUGUAAAGGGUGCUGGAGGUAUCGGAAGUGCGAAUGCUGACAUGAGUAGCGAUAAAGGGGGUGAAAGGCCCCCUCGCCGUAAGCCCAAGGUUUCCUACGCAACGUUCAUCGGCGUAGGGUGAGUCGGCCCCUAAGGCGAGGCAGAAAUGCGUAGCUGAUGGGAAGCAGGUCAAUAUUCCUGCACCAUUGUUAGAUGCGAUGGGGGGACGGAUCGCGGAAGGUUGUCCGGGUGUUGGAAGUCCCGGUCGCUGCAUUGGAGAAGGCGCUUAGGCAAAUCCGGGCGCGUAAUUCAAGGGUGUGGCGCGAGCUCCUUAGGGAGCGAAGCAAUUGGAAGUGGUUCCAAGAAAAGCCUCUAAGCUUCAGUCUAACGAUGACCGUACCGCAAACCGACACAGGUGGGCGAGAUGAGUAUUCUAAGGCGCUUGAGAGAACUCGGGAGAAGGAACUCGGCAAAUUGGUACCGUAACUUCGGGAUAAGGUACGCCCUUGUAGCUUGACUGGCCUGCGCCAGGAGGGUGAAGGGGUUGCAAUAAACUGGUGGCUGCGACUGUUUAAUAAAAACACAGCACUCUGCAAACACGAAAGUGGACGUAUAGGGUGUGACGCCUGCCCGGUGCCGGAAGAUUAAAUGAUGGGGUGCAAGCUCUUGAUUGAAGUCCCGGUAAACGGCGGCCGUAACUAUAACGGUCCUAAGGUAGCGAAAUUCCUUGUCGGGUAAGUUCCGACCUGCACGAAUGGCGUAACGAUGGCCACACUGUCUCCUCCCGAGACUCAGCGAAGUUGAAGUGUUUGUGAUGAUGCAAUCUACCCGCGGCUAGACGGAAAGACCCCAUGAACCUUUACUGUAGCUUUGCAUUGGACUUUGAACCGAUCUGUGUAGGAUAGGUGGGAGGCUAUGAAACCGGAACGCUAGUUUCGGUGGAGCCGUCCUUGAAAUACCACCCUGGUUUGUUUGAGGUUCUAACCUUGGCCCGUGAUCCGGGUCGGGGACAGUGCAUGGUAGGCAGUUUGACUGGGGCGGUCUCCUCCCAAAGCGUAACGGAGGAGUACGAAGGUACGCUAGGUACGGUCGGAAAUCGUGCUGAUAGUGCAAUGGCAUAAGCGUGCUUAACUGCGAGACCGACAAGUCGAGCAGGUGCGAAAGCAGGUCAUAGUGAUCCGGUGGUUCUGUAUGGAAGGGCCAUCGCUCAACGGAUAAAAGGUACUCUGGGGAUAACAGGCUGAUACCGCCCAAGAGUUCAUAUCGACGGCGGUGUUUGGCACCUCGAUGUCGGCUCAUCUCAUCCUGGGGCUGUAGCCGGUCCCAAGGGUAUGGCUGUUCGCCAUUUAAAGAGGUACGUGAGCUGGGUUUAAAACGUCGUGAGACAGUUUGGUCCCUAUCUGCCGUGGGCGUUGGAUAUUUGAAGGGGGCUGCUCCUAGUACGAGAGGACCGGAGUGGACGAACCUCUGGUGUACCGGUUGUCACGCCAGUGGCAUCGCCGGGUAGCUAUGUUCGGAAGAGAUAACCGCUGAAAGCAUCUAAGCGGGAAACUCGCCUUAAGAUGAGAUAUCCCUGGGGACUAGAUCCCCUUGAAGGGUCGUUCGAGACCAGGACGUUGAUAGGUCAGGUGUGUAAGCGCAGUAAUGCGUUCAGCUAACUGAUACUAAUUGCCCGUAAGGCUUGAUCC
Molecule: ribosomal RNA, 2691 nt
Filed under: Burkholderia cenocepacia
Lineage: Bacteria; Pseudomonadati; Pseudomonadota; Betaproteobacteria; Burkholderiales; Burkholderiaceae
Description: partial 23S ribosomal RNA
Rfam family: Bacterial large subunit ribosomal RNA
Source: RNAcentral